UAAAAUAUGUUUGCAAAUGGAUC
This 23-nucleotide non-coding RNA is filed under the name Mus musculus (house mouse). The record is from RNAcentral. Lineage: Eukaryota; Metazoa; Chordata; Mammalia; Rodentia; Muridae.